This 462-nucleotide ribosomal RNA is filed under the name uncultured Caulobacteraceae bacterium. RNAcentral describes it as "bacterial SSU rRNA". It matches the Rfam family "Bacterial small subunit ribosomal RNA", at positions 1073 to 1533 of the family's 1533-position model. The record is from RNAcentral. Lineage: Bacteria; Pseudomonadati; Pseudomonadota; Alphaproteobacteria; Caulobacterales; Caulobacteraceae.
UGUUGGGUUAAGUCCCGCAACGAGCGCAACCCUCGCUUUAGUUGCCAGCAUUAAGUUGGGCACUCUAAAGGGACUGCCGGAGCUAAUCCGGAGGAAGGCGGGGAUGACGUCAAGUCCUCAUGGCCCUUACAGGGUGGGCUACACACGUGCUACAAUGGCGACUACAGAGGGCUGCAAUGCUGCGAAGCGGAGCCAAUCCCUAAAAGUCGUCUCAGUUCGGAUUGCUCUCUGCAACUCGAGAGCAUGAAGUUGGAAUCGCUAGUAAUCGCGGAUCAGCAUGCCGCGGUGAAUACGUUCCCGGGCCUUGUACACACCGCCCGUCACACCAUGGGAGUUGGUUCUACCCGAAGGCGCUGCGCUAACCCGCAAGGGAGGCAGGUGACCACGGUAGGGUCAGCGACUGGGGUGAAGUCGUAACAAGGUAGCCGUAGGGGAACCUGCGGCUGGAUCACCUCCUUUCUG